AUACGUAGGUGGCAAGCGUUGUCCGGAUUUACUGGGUGUAAAGGGCGUGCAGCCGGGAAGGCAAGUCAGAUGUGAAAUCCACGGGCUUAACCCGUGAACUGCAUUUGAAACUGUUUUUCUUGAGUGUCGGAGGGGCAAUCGGAAUUCCUAGUGUAGCGGUGAAAUGCGUAGAUAUUAGGAGGAACACCAGUGGCGAAGGCGGAUUGCUGGACGAUAACUGACGGUGAGGCGCGAAAGUGUGGGGAGCAAACAGGAUUAGAUACCCUGGUAGUCCACACUGUAAACGAUGAAUACUAGGUGUGCGGGGACUGACCCCCUGCGUGCCGCAGUAAACACAAUAAGUAUUCCACCUGGGGAGUACGAUCGCAAGGUUGAAACUCAAAUGAAUUGACGGGG
This 396-nucleotide ribosomal RNA is filed under the name uncultured bacterium. RNAcentral describes it as "partial 16S ribosomal RNA". It matches the Rfam family "Bacterial small subunit ribosomal RNA", at positions 523 to 918 of the family's 1533-position model. The record is from RNAcentral.